GCCUCUGGAGCUUGCUCUCCCUGUUGCGGAAGCGAAGCGUAGGGGUGGCCUCGAGCACGACUGAAUUCUGGAUGUUGUGUGGAGGAUGAAGAGUGGGACUUGCAGGAAGACAACUUAGUCCUCCCAGAGGACUUAUGCGGAGUGGUUGCUGCUGAGAUUGCUCCUUGAUGAUACCCGAGGAAAGCCUUUGAGGAAGGGUGACUUCCUGUUGAUUGCAGAGGAGCUGGUCAAAGGAAAGAUGCGUGAGAACUGGAAGAUAGCUGGUGUCGCUGCAGCCUUCGGAAGGGGUGAGGAUGGCCCGCGCAAAGGUAGGCCAGU
Molecule: long non-coding RNA, 318 nt
Organism: Lagopus leucura (white-tailed ptarmigan)
Lineage: Eukaryota; Metazoa; Chordata; Aves; Galliformes; Phasianidae
Exons: 3
Source: RefSeq, a predicted model, not a curated record